GACGAACGCUGGCGGCGUGCUUAACACAUGCAAGUCGAACGGGUCUGCCCUGUUUUUUGCGGGGUGGGUCAGUGGCGAACGGGUGAGUAACACGUGAGUAACCUGCCCCUCACUUCUGGAUAACCGCUUGAAAGGGUGGCUAAUACGGGGUGUUCUGGCUGUGCCGCAUGGUGUGGCUGGGAAAGAUUCACUUUUGUGGUGUUUUGGUGGGGGAUGGGCUCGCGGCCUAUCAGCUUGUUGGUGGGGUGAUGGCCUGCCAAGGCUUUGACGGGUAGCCGGCCUGAGAGGGUGGGCGGUCACACUGGGGCUGAGAUACGGCCCAGACUCCUGCGGGAGGCAGCAGUGGGGGGUAGUGCACAAUGGGCGGAAGCCUGAUGCAGCGACGUCGCGUGAGGGAUGGAGGCCUGCGGGUUGUGAACCUCUUUCGCCGGUGAAGAAGGUCCUGCUCUUUGUGGUGGGGUUGACGGUAGCCGGGUUAUGAAGCGCCGGCUAACUACGUG
RNAcentral lists this ribosomal RNA (500 nucleotides) under uncultured bacterium. RNAcentral describes it as "partial 16S ribosomal RNA". It matches the Rfam family "Bacterial small subunit ribosomal RNA", at positions 28 to 507 of the family's 1533-position model. The record is from RNAcentral.